AUGGUAGUCUUCGGACUUGGGCUCCGGGUAGAUGACUUGAGGGUCUCAGUCAGGAGCACUUGUGGCAAAGAAGUGCCCGCGAACGAGACGAUGCAACACGAACAGGAGGCGGAUGUCACGUUUGGCGAGCGGCGGGGCCCCUGGUCGGAGUCGGUAGGGACGGCACGAGGCGGUGACGAAGAGGUCGCAGGGAGAGCUGCUGGAGGUGGAUGCAGAGGGUCGAACAGGAAUGUGGCGGCGCAGCAGCAGCUAGCGAGGCAUGGGGGAGGCCUUGCGCGGCGCCGGAGACGGGGAACAGGUGGAACCGAGGUUCCCCGGCAGCAGGGAUGGCGUCUGGCGAUGCACGGCCCGGGCGGCUCGAUGCAGGGCGCGAGAGGAGGCUAG
Molecule: ribosomal RNA, 384 nt
Filed under: Triticum aestivum (bread wheat)
Lineage: Eukaryota; Viridiplantae; Streptophyta; Magnoliopsida; Poales; Poaceae
Description: partial small subunit ribosomal RNA
Source: RNAcentral